GCCCCCGUAGCUCAGUGGACAGAGCGAGGGUUUCCUAAACCCUGCGUCGCAGGUUCGAGUCCUGCCGGGGGCGCCU
Molecule: transfer RNA, 76 nt
Filed under: Anaerolineae bacterium
Lineage: Bacteria; Bacillati; Chloroflexota; Anaerolineae
Also listed under: 1 other name
Description: tRNA-Arg
Rfam family: tRNA
About the family: Transfer RNA (tRNA) molecules are approximately 80 nucleotides in length. Their secondary structure includes four short double-helical elements and three loops (D, anti-codon, and T loops).
Source: RNAcentral